AGGCGCGAAAACUUUACAAUGCUGGCAACAGCGAUAAGGGGACCUCGAGUGCCAGGAUACAAUCUUGGCUGUCGCGAUGCCUAAAAAGCAUUGCAUAGCAAGGGCCGGGCAAGACCGGUGCCAGCCGCCGCGGUAACACCGGCGGCUCGAGUGGUAACCGCUAUUAUUGGGUCUAAAGGGUCUGUAGCCGGCCGGAUAAGUCUUUUGGGAAAUCCAGCUGCUCAACAGUUGGGCUUUCAGAAGAUACUGUUCGGCUCGAGACCGGGAGAGGUGAGAGGUACUUCAGGGGUAGGGGUGAAAUCUUGUAAUCCUUGAAGGACCACCAGUGGCGAGGGCGUCUCACCAGAACGGAUCUGCCGGCAAGGGACGAAAGCUAGGGGCACGAACCGGAUUAGAUACCCGGGUAGUCCUAGCCGUAAACGAUACUCGCUAGGUGUCAGCCACGGUGCGACCGUGGUUGGUGCCGUAGGGAAGCCGUGAAGCGAGCCACCUGGGAAGUACGGCCGCAAGGCUGAAACUUAAAGGAAUUGGCGGGGGAGCAC
RNAcentral lists this ribosomal RNA (542 nucleotides) under uncultured archaeon. Its description in RNAcentral is "bacterial SSU rRNA". It matches the Rfam family "Archaeal small subunit ribosomal RNA", at positions 337 to 879 of the family's 1478-position model. The record is from RNAcentral.